This is a non-coding RNA of Marchantia polymorpha subsp. ruderalis, 118 nucleotides long. NCBI's taxonomy places the organism in Eukaryota, Viridiplantae, Streptophyta, Marchantiopsida, Marchantiales, Marchantiaceae. The record is from the annotation of a GenBank genome assembly.
GCUGCAAUGCUCUAUGUCUGCAUCUGCACCUGCACCAGUUCUACUCUUGCUUUGGCCAAAUUUCUGGAGCUCGAUCAGUUCGGGUGCAGGUGUGGUUGCAGAUACAUAACAUUGUCGC